GAUGAUCCUUAUGAGUCCCUCCAGCUCAAGAUAUUCUAUGAUUCUGGUUCUGUAUAAGAUUGUUUUAAAGGUUAUGUGGCUAAAAUAUAAGAAGUCUGUGUGGGGUUUCUCACUGGCCUGUGAUUCAGCUGCAGUUGUCCCCCUCCCUUCAGCCCUUACUUCUACAACAAACAAAAACCUGCAAGGGGGGGACCCCUGAUGAAAAGCCGCCCGUGGAUUUUGAAUGGGUGUUGCUAAUGUGAAGAGUCUCUGGGGCCGGGCAAGGGCACGGCCAGUCUGCUGUCCUGUUACCAACCCACGGAUCAUCGAGCUGCUGAUGUACAUGCUGUUCAGCCUGAGAACGAGAGAGCAAGUCAGCUGCAGCAUCUUCAUACAGAGCAUCUCAUAGCUGCUUCACCCAGAAGAGAAAUAAUACAGAAACACCACUCCGGGAGAAGCUCUCACCAGUACAGGCAUCUCAGUGCGAGGAAGGAAUAUGAGCGCUGCCCUUGAGGAUUUGAUUUUCCAAAUCAUCAGGAAAUCACAUGCCAUUUUUUUUCCUUUCUCCAAUUUCAAUAUUCCUGAUUUCCCCAGGCUUUCCUCAAACCAUCUCCGUAAUGUACUGAGGCUGAUUCUAACCUCACACUGCUUUUAUAGCACUGUAACUCUGAUCUCACACUGGUUUUACACUGGUGCAGUUCCACUUAUUUAAACUGAGUGAAUUCCUGAUUUAUGUUCAUGUAAACGACGGCAGAAACAGGCCCGUGGUUUUCCCUGGAGCAGUGCCAGGGCGAGGAAGAAGAAGGUCAGAUCGCUUGCGAUGCAAAUGGUGUAGAAAACUGUCGUUAAAUUACACCUAGACCCUUAUUUUUAAAUACAUAUUUGCUUUCUCUUAUAAAACGUACUGUAUUGUCAAAGUUACAAAUGUACAGGAGGAGAUCAGCUAGGAGGGGAGGCCAGGACAGGCAGCUACUGCUCCAGCAUUGAUGGAGAGGGUGACUUACAGACCCCAUUACCCUCUACUUUUUUGGGGAAAAUUAGUCUGCACCCCCUCCUUACUCCAGGUUCUUUCACCCAUUUAUGCAGAAACUGCUUCUCUCAUCCCCAGGCCCAGUUCUGUCCAUUGAGAAUCUGGUGCUUUGGAUUAAAUUGAAAUAUGUGUGUCCUGUUUGCUUUCAAAUAUUAAAAUGUAAUCCUGGGGAAUGAAAUCCCUUAAGACAGUGGUGUGACAGGACAGCCUGCAGCAUGGCUCUGCCCCUUCAGCAGCAUUUUGAGCAAGGAGGGCCCUUAACAGAGCUGGAGAUGAGAGCACAGGUGGGUUCCUUUGCAAAGACCCACUAAUAUAACUCUAAUUAAUUUAUUUUUUAAGGCUAUGCACAAAGGAUCUGAUCAACACUUUGCCCUGUGGUCUGGUUUGUUUGGAGUAUAUAUAAUUUCCUUGAUUUAUUCUCUGUGAUGUGAAAGGAUUUAACCACCAUCUUGAUACCUGCCUCUGAGGCUGCUCCCGUCCCUUGACACAAGCAGGUGCAGCAUAUUCUGAAUCAACUCCUGAGCUCUCUAUGCAACACCUGAUCCCAAUUAGGCAGCUGCCUUUAAAAGCAGCUCCCCUGGCCGUGAGUUAGUGAUGCUGGAUUGAAACCAUCAAUGUUGGGUGGGAUCUGUGCUCCUGAACCCCCUGCAGACCUUUCUGGGUGAAACCAGGACUGACCAUGUCUGAGAGCUCUUCACCCAGGCAAGUCUCAUCCUUCCUUGGUUCUACUAAUGGAGGAAAACUGGGGUUGUUGUAAUUAAUGACUGUGGCAGCCACUGUUUUAAUGUGGAUUGUUUUCCCCUCUCAUUUGCUCUUAGAAAAUGUUGGGACAGAGAUGGGGGAGAUGACUGCAGGCUGGCAGCCAGGUGGGAAGGGGACCUUUGCAUCUUUGGUGGGAAUGGAAGGAUGUGGUCUUUGCUCAGACAUGGGGCUGGUUUUGUCAUCUCUCAGCUCACACCAACCCCUCUGCUGUGCCCUAAGGAGCCUUUUGCUGCAGUGCAAAGCCACUGGCCUUUUGUGGAGGUGUGUGAUGGCCGAAUAGCAAAUAACUUAGGGUCAGUAGCGUCACCCACAGCUCUCCUGGCUUUUCUGAGCUCUUGUUCAGGUAGGCCCUUGCUGGUGCACAUAGAAGGUCAAAGAUGUGUUUAUCUCCUGCUGCGAAUCGGUGCAGGGAAGGGAGCGAUGCUGCAGCCCUCCAAGAGACCCUGGCUGGGACAGGCGUUGGGCACAGAAGACCAGUGCAGGAAAGAGGAUUCAGGUUCCCCACCUCCCACUUCUGAGUGCCAGAGCCCUCCUUGGGAAUCCCAGCGAGCAUAAAUCAGUGUAGCUGUAUUGUUUCUAUAGGGCUGUGCUGCUUUAUGAUGGCUGAGGACCUUUUGCCAUUGCCCAGCUCCUGGAUAAACAUCCCACCUUCACACCCAGUGGGGCACCAGCUUCUCCUCUGAGCCGGAGGAAUCACCAGCAGCACAACCUUCCCAUCACAUGUAUCCUCCCAGCAGCAUCACUGACAGCCCUGGGGCUCUGCAAGGACCCCCCAGCUCCCAGACAGCCCCAGGGGGGUGAGAUGCCACCACCUGACAUCGGCAGAGCAAAAUAUGGCCCUGGCAGUAGUCUGAUAGAAUGUGAUGGUAAUUUGGGGAGGGGGGAAGCAGAGGAGGAGGCGUUGAAAAAAGGAGGUAUUGAAAGUACACUUCCUUUCAGUGCAUUGCUGGAAAGACCAUUAGGAAAACCACUAGAUUAUUUUUCACAUUCUUCAGUGCAAAACUACUGCAUUUUAUGACCACUAUCAAUAACAGCUAUCAUAUUACUAAUGCUACAGUUGCCACAUAUAUAAUAUUUAAAUCACAUUUGCGGCUGACAGAGACCUAUGGAUAUUCUCGAUCCCAACAGGCUAUUACAGUUCAUAUCAUGUCUGUCAUAUAAAUAUUAUGAAUCAUUUCCCGCUAUCUUUAUGGGGGCUACAUUGACAUCGUCAAAAAGGCUCUGGGUACUGCCGGAUACUGCAUAUUUAUAUACACCUUAUGUAUAUGUAUGUGAAUGGAGGGAGAUUUAUACAACAAUCAUCAGUAAUAAAUGCCUAUGAUAAAGCAUA
This is a long non-coding RNA of Columba livia (rock pigeon), 3101 nucleotides long. RefSeq lists it as uncharacterized. The record is from RefSeq and is a predicted model, not a curated record. Lineage: Eukaryota; Metazoa; Chordata; Aves; Columbiformes; Columbidae. The transcript has 2 exons.